GAUGAACGCUGGCGGCGUGCCUAAUACAUGCAAGUCGAGCGAACAGACGAGGAGCUUGCUCCUCUGACGUUAGCGGCGGACGGGUGAGUAACACGUGGAUAACCUACCUAUAAGACUGGGAUAACUUCGGGAAACCGGAGCUAAUACCGGAUAAUAUAUUGAACCGCAUGGUUCAAUAGUGAAAGACGGUUUUGCUGUCACUUAUAGAUGGAUCCGCGCCGCAUUAGCUAGUUGGUAAGGUAACGGCUUACCAAGGCAACGAUGCGUAGCCGACCUGAGAGGGUGAUCGGCCACACUGGAACUGAGACACGGUCCAGACUCCUACGGGAGGCAGCAGUAGGGAAUCUUCCGCAAGGGGCGAAAGCCUGACGGAGCAACGCCGCGUGAGUGAUGAAGGUCUUCGGAUCGUAAAACUCUGUUAUUAGGGAAGAACAAAUGUGUAAGUAACUAUGCACGUCUUGACGGUGCCUAAUCAGAAAGCCACGGCUAACUACGUG
Molecule: ribosomal RNA, 497 nt
Filed under: uncultured bacterium
Lineage: Bacteria
Description: partial 16S ribosomal RNA
Rfam family: Bacterial small subunit ribosomal RNA
Source: RNAcentral